CAGAGGAGAGGAGAGACGCGAUUGGCUGCUGCAAACUGAAAGCGAAAACCUCUUUUUUCUGAAAGCCUGCAAGACAGUUGAUGGUGUGUGUGUUUUAGGCGUGACUCCAAAGCGUGUCCUCCAGUGCCCUCGCUGUCUCCCACCUCUGCAAACUCAAAGAUAAGCUCAUUGGACUACCAUGGCUUCAGUGAAGAUGGUAAACCCAACGUAAGUUAGUGUUAAGCAUCAUUUCUGGUCACUGGAACUUUAACAGCACUUAGAAAAAUAACAAAGCUGCCUUCAACCUUUUUAUGAUUAAUGUGAAUAAUAAUAAUUUUUAAAAAGUGUUUCUUGAACACUGUUAGCAACAGACUUGAAUUAGUUGACAAAACCAUCAUCAGUUUAUUGUCUUUCAGCAAGAAAAAGGUCAGGAUCUCACAUUGCUUAGCGUCACCUGAGGAAUUUCCUCAGUUCCCCAGUGGAGUUUGAUUAUUUUAAGAGGCUUAAACAACCUACUUCCAUAAAGCAACCUUUAGAAAUACAUUUUUUUUUUAAAUUUUUUUUUUUAAAUUGUGUCUCUGUACAGAGCGUCUAUUGUCCUCAAACUCGAAAAAUGUGCCAAGUUCAACAUGGAUUCCUUUCCUCUUAAGCUAUGUAGGCUGCAUGUCAUGGAAAAAACAUUCAUAGCUCAAGCAAUGCCACAGUUCAAGUAAUGGAGGCAGGAUACUUCCGGACCUCUGGCAGUUCACACAAACAUUGGAGGCCACAUCAUACCAGCGCCACUAAAGAGUGCAUUUUUGUGGCAAAUGUCAACCUCUUGCAACAGCAAUACCUUCACCACCACCACCACCGUCAUCAUACAUUGCAACAAUAGAAAUACUGUUGGAUUGCACUUUCUUCAAGCUUUCAUCUUGUGGCAUGUUUAUAGAAAAAAUAUAUAUAGAAUACAAAAAGCUUAUACUUCUUUGAGUAACAGAAUAUAACAUACAGUACUUCAGAUUAUGUUUUGAUCAGCACAUCAGCAGGUGUACAUAAACUGCCCUACCCUUGCCCAAAUGCAAUUACUGGACUAAACAGGGAUGUUGUUCUGCUCAAUAUUUAGUGUUUUGGUCAAUGGGUAUAUGCUCUUACUAUGGUAUUCUACAGGAUGUUAAUGCUACAUAAUUAUCCACUGUAUAUGAAUGUCAGUUUAUUAAAAAACAAAAAAAAAACAAAAAAAAAAAAAAAGGGGGGGGGGGGGGGGGAGGGGGUGGAAAUAACCAAGAUGCACCGCAACAUUUCACAAAUUCAUGUGGCAUUUUACCCAAAAAAGUACUUGGCCCUCCAAACCACCUGGAUGAAACUGCAUGUUUACGCCAUUCCCCCACCCCACCCCCACAAAAGCACUUUGUAGUAAUAAUCCAAUAUACAUCUCCAACACAUGGGUCAAAUUUUAAAAACUGAACAGUUUUAACUCGAAACAUCUCUAGCAAUGUGAAUUCCUGGCUUAAAAAAAAGAAAAAGUGCAGCACCUGACGUCAGUGAGUAAAUCUCAGGUGGUCAGCAUCCCUACCCAAAAGGUGUGUGUUAAACAAAUGGCAAUAAAUGAAGUACAAAAAAAAUAAA
This is a long non-coding RNA of Pelmatolapia mariae (spotted tilapia), 1584 nucleotides long. RefSeq lists it as uncharacterized. The record is from RefSeq and is a predicted model, not a curated record. Lineage: Eukaryota; Metazoa; Chordata; Actinopteri; Cichliformes; Cichlidae. The transcript is spliced from 2 exons.